This 422-nucleotide ribosomal RNA is filed under the name Vibrio harveyi. Its description in RNAcentral is "bacterial SSU rRNA". It matches the Rfam family "Bacterial small subunit ribosomal RNA", at positions 973 to 1395 of the family's 1533-position model. The record is from RNAcentral. Lineage: Bacteria; Pseudomonadati; Pseudomonadota; Gammaproteobacteria; Vibrionales; Vibrionaceae.
ACCUACUCUUGACAUCCAGAGAACUUUCCAGAGAUGGAUUGGUGCCUUCGGGAACUCUGAGACAGGUGCUGCAUGGCUGUCGUCAGCUCGUGUUGUGAAAUGUUGGGUUAAGUCCCGCAACGAGCGCAACCCUUAUCCUUGUUUGCCAGCACUUCGGGUGGGAACUCCAGGGAGACUGCCGGUGAUAAACCGGAGGAAGGUGGGGACGACGUCAAGUCAUCAUGGCCCUUACGAGUAGGGCUACACACGUGCUACAAUGGCGCAUACAGAGGGCGGCCAACUUGCGAGAGUGAGCGAAUCCCAAAAAGUGCGUCGUAGUCCGGAUCGGAGUCUGCAACUCGACUCCGUGAAGUCGGAAUCGCUAGUAAUCGUGGAUCAGAAUGCCACGGUGAAUACGUUCCCGGGCCUUGUACACACCGCCC